Molecule: long non-coding RNA, 2150 nt
Filed under: Cinara cedri
Lineage: Eukaryota; Metazoa; Arthropoda; Insecta; Hemiptera; Aphididae
Source: RNAcentral
UGUGUAGUAUGUAGUGUGUGUGAGUAGGCGUAUUGUGAAUUUUCGUGUAGGAUGGUGUAAUUUGUUUACUUCAAGUGUUUUAAAUUGUGAUCGAACAAUUUCGAAACCUAAAGGUCUAACUGAAAAAGAAAUGAUUGAUGCAUUAUUCGAAACACCAGAAGAUUCUUGUAUCGGAAGUAAUUAGCUGUGAAUUCAUAUCUACUAAAAGAGGAAGACCAAAUAAAGAAAAUAAACAAACUAAUAUAACUGACAGAAAAACCAGAGGUGUUUACAAACGACAUUUCUAGGUGUUAGAUUUGAUGGUAUCAACAUUUUCCUGAUUGGUUUGGGACUAGACAAAAGUGUAAAUACUUAAGACUGCAAAGGUAUAACAUAUGCUAUUUGUAAUAAAUGUAAUAAAUCCUUAUGCUUCACUAAAAGUUCUAACUGUUUUAAAAAAGUACCUUACUAAACAAAUGUAACAAGUAUACUUGGUUAAUAUAAAUUACUGUAAAAAUUGGUAGGUAAAUAAAGUCCAUUGUAAAAAUAAUAACCAUUUAUUUCAAAUCCACAAGACACAUUAGACAAACGUAACCAUUAUACCAUAAUAUAACAUAUACCAUAUAUUGUAUUGUUGACACAGCAUCACUAUCAAAUAAACUCCGCUCAUCAUCGGUUUUUCGUUAGCAAUGAUAUAUUGUUGCUUACAGAUAUACAUUGAAUUCUCUUCUGUAUCCUACCUUCUCAACUUCCGACCUACAGCAGUGGCUGCACCCACAUGCAUAUUAUGGAUAUCCAGUUCAUGAAAUGAAUGAUUUCACUAUGUGGAUGUGACAUAUACAUAUAGUACCAUAUAUUAAGCCUAGAUUAACAGAUUUCAAGUAGUUAUUUUUAAUUUUGAUCAAAUAUAUCACUGAUUCAUUGGAAUUAAUAUUAUCAUGAUAUUAUUAUUACUAGGUACUUAGUUAUAUAUAUAUAUAUAUUAUUAUUUUUUAAUAAAAGGAAAAGAAUAUUUAUGUUUCACACAAAUCUAUUUCUUCUAAUAUCAUAAUAAGAAGAGUUAAAAUUCAAUAACCAAGCGAGGUAUGACUUAUGUUUUUCAACCAGUAUUAAUUUGUCAUUUAGACCUUUAUGUCAUCACGUUUAAAUAAUAACUAACACUUUCUAGAUUCAAAUGUUUUGCCAUAUCAGGCAUAUAUAUAAAAACUAAUUUUUCCUACAUUCAAAUUUCUGAAGAUACCGCUACUGUGGCCUGACAGUAUGUAGGCAAAUAUCUAUAUUUUAGAUCCUUUACAGAUUGGCACAACAUAAUUUGCAAUAUUUGUAGUAUAGCAAAUUUAUGUUAUUUUCUAAUAACUUAAAUUGUGGUUUUUAGAAUGAUAGCAAACUUGUUUAAAUCAUUUUUUUCAGUUUCCAAUUUGAAAUUUGUAAACCUAUUAAGAUAAAAGAUUAAAUUAAAAUUCAAGUACAUAGAAACUUUGGACAUGAUUUCUAUAAAUGAUAUUUAAAUCUAAUAUGAACUUAGUUAUUUUUUAUUUACACAUUGUGACCUUUAAUUGGAAUAAUUAAUUCCUAUGUCUAUUAUUUGUUGAGUUGCUAUUGUAGUACCUAUUUUAAAUCGUACAUACAAAUGAAAGAAUACAACGACAUUGUAAAGUAUUUGUUAUAAAUUUAAAUGUAUUAAAUGUUUUUAUUUUUUUUUUGAGCUGAUUAAGAACAAAAAAUGGCAACAAUUACGUCAACUACUUUCACACCGGGUACCCUAUUAUGGGUAAAUGUGAAUAACAUCUGGUGGCCAGGGAAAGUCGUACACCCAAAAAGUGCACCAAAAAAAACACAGCAUAUCAUGAACCAAAAGCGGCAUCUCGCUGCUAUAGUCUGGUUUGAGACAGACAACAAAUAGUAAGUUUAAAUUAGGAUGCAAUUUUUGUAUUUAGAAUAUUUGUAUCGGUUCCAAUUAAAAUAUACAGGUUGUUCCAUGGAGAUAUACUUAUUUUGUUAUAUCUCUGAGAUAAUAAAGAUGAAAGAAUUUUUUUUUAUUUUGUUAUUCACUGGGAUAAAGACUACAAAAAUUAUAUUCCAAUUAAUUGUAUAUAUUGUGGUAAAAAAUUUAAAAAAUGACUUUUAAAUUCAGAGAAAAGUACCUAUAAUAAAUACCCAGCAGGCUGUAA